GUGAGCAGAGUCUGUCUGGAGCUGAUCUGUCUCUAAUCUAAUUCACAGGUACUAAUAUACCCUCCUCCCAUUAGCAUCAGAAUGCCUGAUGGCAGAUAAGCUGGAAGGAGCUCCACAUUUUAAGGACAAACCAGAAGGAUGCUACAGACAAAGAUGAGGCAUAUGGAUGCUAUGAGAAGCAGGUUACUGUGUUUUGGAUCUCAAUGGAAGAAAUGUAUCUGAGGCUGAAACCUGGACAAAAUGGAGAUAACUGUGGAAGAAGGGGUCCAUGCAGAGGGACAGAGGAAGAUUAUGCCUGCAUAUUUCACUGGGCAUGUAAUUCUGCCUUUUUUCCCAAAAGAGUUUAGUGAAAGCUGUGGAUGCCUUCCCUAUCCCUGAUGUCACUUCUUGCUUGAAAACUCUGUUGGUUAGUAUGGUGCUGCCCAGGUCCUGUGGACAGCUGUGGAAAAAACAUAGGAGACGUCAUAAUCAAAUAUACAUUUGCUGGAGCAACAAACCUAUUCAGGAAAGAAGAGGUAGCUUUCCGAUACAGUGAAAUUUAACCCAGGCCCCAUACGAUUAGAUAGUACUGGUAUGACUAGAGUGUUAGUUCACCAUAAAAAUUCACCUCUGUGAAGUCCACACUCAUUCUCCCACACAGGCCUCCUCUUCUAAUGUAAGUAGUUAUUAGGGAUGGGCUUACUCAGAGGUUGAGAACUACUUCUGGUAUGUCUGCAAUGUAAUUGGGAGGUGUGAUUUGCAGCACAGGUAAGCAUACCCAUGCUAGCUUUGAUGUAGAUAGCUCACUAAGAAUAGCAAUGAAGUUGCAACAGCCUGGGUUUGCAGCACAGGCUAGCCAUCCAAGUCUGUACCCAGGCUCUGGUUGCAGUUUAGAGAUACCCUGUGGAGAAAGCCUACUGGCCAGUAUGACUAAGACUCCCUGUGUUGGGGUGUACUGGGCCCUUUGAUGACCCUUGCUGAAAGACUUGCGGUCCUACCACACGCCACCCCAGAAAAGGAGCAGUGAAGGUGGGUCCUCCAGGCCUGCCUCGAGAAGCUGCAGGGAAACAGCCAAUCCGAGCAGAGCAGGCCCAGUUGAAAAGGAGCUACAGGGCCUGAGCAGAUCAGUUGCUGGCUGGGACCAGAAGGGUGAGGAAGGACUGGAAAACAGUGAGACUCUCCAGGUGAGGAGGCCUUCCUCAAGCAGGAAGCAGACAGAGAAGAGGGAGGGGUGAUGUGGGAAGUGGCCCAGGGAAUAGCAGCAGAAACUAUUAUAGCAAGCAGAACAUGGCUGAUAUUUUUAGGGUCCCUGGGUCAGGACCUGGGGUAGUGGGUGGGCCUGGGUCCCCUAACCAGCCACUGGCAGGGUUGUCUAAGCCCCAAGAGGGGAUAAGGCUUGAUUAGAGGCCAAAGUGAAGGGUAGGACCUAGAGUCUCCAGGGAGGAAGCCCUGGGGUCACUGCUCUAGACUUAAAGCUAGCCCAGAAGGGGCUGAGGACUGAGUCCAGAGACCGGGCUAAAUGGUAAUGGGCACAGGCCCCGUUGGACCUUUUACCACAGAAGUGUUUCCUUCAGGUGUUUAGAAAAUGGGUAACUUAGUCAGAGGGCUGAGCCAAUGAAGACCCGCCUGAUGCGGGCAACUGCCAACAAGAGGUGACAGAAAAGGAAAGAGUGCAGGUUUGCACCCAGCCAACAGGAAGCACUCAUGAGAGGUGUGUUCCCCCAGUCACACCCCUCCAGAAUUAAAAGGAGUAAAACAGUAGUGUAGUUUCAGUUGUGUAUGUAGCACCAUUAAAGGUUAGUGCUAGGUCUGUAUCCUAACCAGCUUCUGCACAAGUGUGCUAGUUGGAGAAGAGGUUCCCAGAACACACACACUCCUCUCUCUUUCCACCCAUAGCAGUGCUUUUGUACAAGAUAGACCUAAAAUGAGCUGGAAGAUUUAAGAGUUGAGUUUUUAUAUCUUUACUAUCCUUCCCACCUUGUGGAAGUUUUUAUCUCUCAGUCACAGAGAAACUGGAAUUAUUGCUGAAAAUUAAAAAAUAAAUCUGAGAAUAGGGUUGGGUCUAGACAAUAGUCCUCUACAGCCAGCUGGGACAAGUCUAAACUACCUUUCCUGUGAAUUCAUGGGUAUGCUCCGAAUUCAUUACUCACCAUAACCCUCUAUGCUAUGAAGUACCUGAACUCUUCAGAUCCAGCUGUGCCCAUCUCUGUUUAUGCUUUUUUCUCUUGUUAUGAACCUCCUCAUUGGUCUUUAAAUCUAGGAUGAUGUUUGCUGAGAAACAACCCCGUUAUUCGAGGAACAUAUGUUCAUAACUAUUACAAGUCAGGAACAUUUGAAUAGUCUCCAUCUGGCACAAAUCAAUGUAGAAUCAUAAUAAAUGAGAAUUGUUAAUACUGAGAACUUUGUCUGGAAUUGUAGAUGUAGCCAUUGUUUAAAGUAAUUUGUAAAGAACUCUGAAGUUUCAGGAUUAGUUCAUCCAUAAAGGUUUUGCUUGGUCUGUACUUUUUAUUUUCAAUAAUGUAUAGAAAAUUAUAAAUUGGCAUACCAAAGCAGAUCAUGUUCUGCCACUUACAGUAACCAUAUGCUUCUAAGAAUGGUGCAAGAAAUCCUCAAUGGACAAUUAUGGAAUAAUCUGCCUGUGAGGAAAAGUUACUUCAAAAUCGCUGGGUGUGUUUUAAUCCACUGAAAGUUGCCUUUAGAGAAAGUAAAAAUAACAAACACAAAAUUAGAAUAUACUUCAGUAAAAACAGGCAAUACUCAUACACCAAAUCAGCAUUAUUUGUAAACAUAUACUGUAAAACCCUCACUGUCCCUUGAGUAUACAAGAUGCAUCCAACAUCCAUGAGGCCAUAUGGAGACACUGCAUUCAUUUAAACAACUAGUGCACAAUAAAAUUAUGUUGUCCUCUAAGUGCAAAUUGUUUAUUCAGGAGAGUUACACCUUUUUUUUUUCUAAAUUAAAAUAAAAAUACAGUCACUUUGCUACACUGAGAUUUUUUUCAUACAGUAUCUCAGAGAACCAUUGGUAUCUCCCAUAGCUGUCAACUAAUAGAAAUUCUGAAAAAAGAUAAACUCUUUCUGUGAUAGUUUAGCCAGUGUUCUUUGGGGUUCACUACUAGUCAUUCCAUAAGAAGUAGAAAAUGUAAGGGAUGCAAACUCUCGUGCUUGUU
Caretta caretta (loggerhead turtle) is the source of this 3148-nucleotide long non-coding RNA. RefSeq lists it as uncharacterized. The record is from RefSeq and is a predicted model, not a curated record. NCBI's taxonomy places the organism in Eukaryota, Metazoa, Chordata, Testudines, Cheloniidae.